CCUGACGUAGAUGCUAUUCCCUAAGAUUAACCCAUGCAUGUUAUUGAAUUUGAAAGAUGGACUGCUCAGUAAUACUCACUUAAUUUGUUGUAUAUUGAUUAUAACUACGUUAAAGUGUAGCUAAUAUAUGUACAGUAAGAGUGAGACCUAUCAGCUAGUUGUUAAGGUAAUGGCUUAACAAGGCUUUGACGGGUAACGGUAUUAUUUUGUAAUAUUCCGGAGAAGGAGCCUGAGAGAUGGCUACUAAGUCUAAGGAUUGCAGCAGGGGCGAAACUUGACCUAUGGAUUUUAUCUGAGGCAGUUAUGGGAAGUAAUAAUAAUUUUUUCGCAUUUUAAAAGUAUGUGAGAUGAUUAAUUGGAGGGCAAAUCAAGUGCCAGCAGCCGCGGUAAUACUUGUUCCAAGAGUGUGUAUGAUGAUUGAUGCAGUUAAAAAGUCCGUAGUUUAUUUUU
RNAcentral lists this ribosomal RNA (450 nucleotides) under Vairimorpha ceranae. RNAcentral's name for it is "SSU rRNA". It matches the Rfam family "Microsporidia small subunit ribosomal RNA", at positions 17 to 468 of the family's 1311-position model. Lineage: Eukaryota; Fungi; Microsporidia; Nosematidae. The record is from RNAcentral.